GGCGAACGCUGGCGGCGUGCUUAACACAUGCAAGUCGAACGGAAAGGCCCUGCUUUUGUGGGGUGCUCGAGUGGCGAACGGGUGAGUAACACGUGAGUAACCUGCCCUUGACUUUGGGAUAACUUCAGGAAACUGGGGCUAAUACCGGAUAGGAGCUCCUGCUGCAUGGUGGGGGUUGGAAAGUUUCGGCGGUUGGGGAUGGACUCGCGGCUUAUCAGCUUGUUGGUGGGGUAGUGGCUUACCAAGGCUUUGACGGGUAGCCGGCCUGAGAGGGUGACCGGCCACAUUGGGACUGAGAUACGGCCCAGACUCCUACGGGAGGCAGCAGUGGGGAAUAUUGCACAAUGGGCGGAAGCCUGAUGCAGCAACGCAGCGUGCGGGAUGACGGCCUUCGGGUUGUAAACCGCUUUCGCCUGUGACGAAGCGUGAGUGACGGUAAUGGGUAAAGAAGCACCGGCUAACUACGUG
This 468-nucleotide ribosomal RNA is filed under the name uncultured bacterium. RNAcentral describes it as "partial 16S ribosomal RNA". It matches the Rfam family "Bacterial small subunit ribosomal RNA", at positions 28 to 507 of the family's 1533-position model. The record is from RNAcentral.